CAAGAUAUAGCUUAUUUUAAAGCAUUUCAUUUACAUUGAAAAGUUUAUUUAUUUUUGAAUUAUUUUGU
RNAcentral lists this transfer RNA (68 nucleotides) under Lepidopsocidae sp. RS-2001. RNAcentral describes it as "tRNA-Val". The record is from RNAcentral. Lineage: Eukaryota; Metazoa; Arthropoda; Insecta; Psocodea; Lepidopsocidae.